This is a long non-coding RNA of Aricia agestis (brown argus), 138 nucleotides long. RefSeq lists it as uncharacterized. The record is from RefSeq and is a predicted model, not a curated record. NCBI's taxonomy places the organism in Eukaryota, Metazoa, Arthropoda, Insecta, Lepidoptera, Lycaenidae. The transcript is spliced from 3 exons.
CAUUAUAAUAUUAUGAAUUGGUUAUAACGAUUGGUUUGUAGUUGGAAGGAUAUGAGCGGUCACCUAUUUUAGGGAUCGGGUACACCAAAGCUGUCUUAUAAGAAGCCGGAUAAUGCCAGAAGUGUAGGAGAAACGUAA